Long non-coding RNA from Mangifera indica (mango), 760 nucleotides. RefSeq lists it as uncharacterized. The transcript has 2 exons. The record is from RefSeq and is a predicted model, not a curated record. Lineage: Eukaryota; Viridiplantae; Streptophyta; Magnoliopsida; Sapindales; Anacardiaceae.
UUGGGCCUUCCAAAUGUUCAAAAGUUGUGGACGCAAUUUGCUUGACCGAAAACUCAGGGUGCAUUGGUCUUCUCCCCUUCAAGCACAUAAAUACUUCUAAGCUCCCCAAUUUUCACAGACAAAAAUCACCCUCGAUGGACUUCACCAACAUUUCAUUUGGUUGUGUCCAGUAAACCAAAAUCUUCAAACUCAGAAGCUCCGAUGGGGCUGCAUAUGUUGGCUCUAGCCAAGCUCAACCUCCUCUCAGCCUCCAGUAGUGCAAACCCAAUCCUGACGAGCUUGAUAUGGCCAUUUGUGCUGAAGUUGUCGUUCAGUUUGAAGCCAGUUCGUCUAACUUACAUCGAUGUGCUCCAUGCAUGUAGGCUCUUCGUAUUUCAACUGGGUCAGAUAGCGUUUGGCACAGAUCAACCACCUCUUCGUGGUGGCCGCAGAUGGGAGAGAGCUAUUCGGUUGGUUUGGCAGAGGUUAACGCAAUCAAGACGCUCAUUGCCCACACAGUCUGACGAGGACAACUUUCAUACCCUCACCGUCAUAUCACUUUAGACCACUCUGCUUUUCCGUGAUCUAUCAUCGACAGUUGUGAUCUUGUUUGCUAGUUUGCCAAUAAGCAAGUUGCUAUAUCUUGCUCCACUGUAAAGUAUGCGUAUCGUGCCCUUGUUUAUGUUGUUGUUGAUAUUCGAUGGUUUCGUUAUCAUGUACAUGAGUUCAACACUCCUCUUUGUUCUUUUCUAUGACAACCAAUUUGCUCUCCACAUAGUCA